Acanthosepion pharaonis is the source of this 97-nucleotide non-coding RNA. Lineage: Eukaryota; Metazoa; Mollusca; Cephalopoda; Sepiida; Sepiidae. The record is from the annotation of a GenBank genome assembly.
UGAAAUACUGGUUCCUGUACAAUUACAGAAGUUAAGCAACAUUGAGCCUGGUCAGUACCCAGAUUGGUGACCGCUUGGAAAUAACAGGUGCUGUAAG